UAGGGAAUAUUGGUAAUGGGCGAAAGCCUGAACCAGCAACGCCGCGUGUGCGAUGAAGGCCUUCGGGUUGUAAAGCACUUUUGACCGGGACGAGGAAGGACGGUACCGGUGGAAUAAGCCUCGGCUAACUACGUGCCAGCAGCCGCGGUAACACGUAGGAGACAAGCGUUAUUCGGAUUUACUGGGCGUAAAGCGCGUGCAGGCGGUCUGACAAGUUGGAUGUGAAAGCUCCUGGCUUAACUGGGAGAGGUCGUUCAAAACUAUCAGACUAGAGAGUGGUAGAGGAAGGCGGAAUUCCGGGUGUAGUGGUGAAAUGCGUAGAUAUCCGGAGGAACACCAGUGGUGAAAGCGGCCUUCUGUACCAAUUCUGACGCUCAGACGCGAAAGCUAGGGUAGCGAACGG
This 403-nucleotide ribosomal RNA is filed under the name uncultured bacterium. RNAcentral's name for it is "bacterial SSU rRNA". It matches the Rfam family "Bacterial small subunit ribosomal RNA", at positions 355 to 775 of the family's 1533-position model. The record is from RNAcentral.